GUUGACGUUUCCGUGCGUGUCGCGUCCGCACCGCGGGCCUGGGGACCUGACUUCCGACCCCACAGUCAGUGGCCGUGGUGGCAGCUGGACCGCAGCGAGGACGGGAAGGUUCCCACCGCUCACGCCACCAGCCUUCACUGCACAUGGGCAAGGCCUUGAAUGCCAACACUCGAAGGAGUUUCCCUGGUGAAUGUCAGCCAGGAAAGGAUUUUGAAUUGGGGUGAUAUAAUGCAAACUUUGCUUUUGGAUGAGAAUCAGGCCCAUACGGAGGACAUGCUGAGGAGAGGAAAUGAACAGACACCAGGAGACCUGCCUGUGCAUUCAGGACUUUAUUCAGUACUCACUGUGGUGGACCUGAGGAGGUAUAGGGCUGCAGAGAUGAGGACAUGAACUCCGCGUCUGCAGUGACACUCAACUUUUCAGAUGUAUCUCCCACCUUCCUUCUGUGCUCCUACCAGAAAGGAAGACUGCACACAGUAUGGCUGAAGGCUCCUGACUCCUUAUCUGGGACCCGCCCCCCCCCUUAUGCCCCAAACUCUCGUCAAACACACAGAUACUCUCUCUCAUUUACACACUUUUUAAAAAAAUUUUACCCAAAUUUGUUGUCUAGUU
Molecule: long non-coding RNA, 612 nt
Organism: Nyctereutes procyonoides (raccoon dog)
Lineage: Eukaryota; Metazoa; Chordata; Mammalia; Carnivora; Canidae
Exons: 3
Source: RefSeq, a predicted model, not a curated record